This 472-nucleotide long non-coding RNA is filed under the name Ananas comosus (pineapple). RNAcentral's name for it is "long non-coding RNA (ACOM_LNC008094)". Lineage: Eukaryota; Viridiplantae; Streptophyta; Magnoliopsida; Poales; Bromeliaceae. The record is from RNAcentral.
UGCUUGAGAAAAUAUACAGAAUAUUUUUAAAGUAAAAAAUUAUUAUUCAUAUAAAAUCUUAAUUUUUGUUAUAUAUGAUUAGAUAGUUUAAUCCAAUAUUUAUCUAUAUAAUUUAUUUAUUUUUAACUGCAUAAAUGAAAAUAAAUAAUAUGGAGAUUGAAGACGUAAGAAAAGACAUGUGAGGCUGAAAAGAUUAGAUAUUCAACUUAUAAAUUAUUUUUUUCAUAUUAUAAUACUAUAUUUUAUAUAAUUAUUUUGUACUUUGAACAAUUAGGCAUAUUUUUGUAUCAAAUUAUAGAUAAUGUUCUAUACAAAUUAAACUAUUGAUUGUAUGUUGUUGAAAAUUUCAAACGGCUCGUUUAUGGCUCGAGCUCGCUCGACUCGAAAUUAGGCUCUCGAAUUAAUUUCAAUCCAAAUUUGAGCUUAAAUUUAAGCUCGAAAUUAAUUUCAAGCCGAAUUUGAGCCGAGGUAA